GAUGAACGCUGGCGGCGUGCCUAAUACAUGCAAGUCGAGCGAACGGACGAGAAGCUUGCUUCUCUGAUGUUAGCGGCGGACGGGUGAGUAACGCGUGGAUAACCUACCUAUAAGACUGGGAUAACUUCGGGAAACCGGAGCUAAUACCGGAUGAUAUUUUGAACCGCAUGGUUCAAAAGUGAAAGACGGUCUUGCUGUCACUUAUAGAUGGAUCCGCGCUGCAUUAGCUAGUUGGUAAGGUAACGGCUUACCAAGGCAACGAUGCAUAGCCGACCUGAGAGGGUGAUCGGCCACACUGGAACUGAGACACGGUCCAGACUCCUACGGGAGGCAGCAGUAGGGAAUCUUCCGCAAUGGGCGAAAGCCUGACGGAGCAACGCCGCGUGAGUGAUGAAGGUCUUCGGAUCGUAAAACUCUGUUAUUAGGGAAGAACAUAUGUGUAAGUAGCUGUGCACAUCUUGACGGUACCUAAUCAGAAAGCCACGGCUAACUACGUG
Molecule: ribosomal RNA, 497 nt
Filed under: uncultured bacterium
Lineage: Bacteria
Description: partial 16S ribosomal RNA
Rfam family: Bacterial small subunit ribosomal RNA
Source: RNAcentral